UGUAUUCAAUAACCCCAAAACAGUAACAAGACUAACAAUGGAAACAUUACUGGUGCCCGCUUGAGCAAAUCCAUGAACAACGGUUUGACAGUGAUACAGUGCUACAAUGGAUCACUCCUGGUAGAGCUAGGGGGACCAGAUGAGGUGUCAGGGAUUGGACCUGUGUUGAAUACAUACAAGGCAAUGGCUAUUUAAAUAAAGUAGAGCUACUCCAAAAUAAACUAAGUUUCUUGUAUAGAUCUUAGAAUUUUUUUUUAAAUACUGUUUACGAGAACAUGCCUUCUCCAGAUGGAGCUCCAGCGACACUGAGCUUCUACAACACAGUUCCAGUAUGCGGGACUGGGAUAUCUCUAAACCGCAGGGGGCACUGGAGCGGGGCAGCGCCAGCCCAGUUUGCAAUUUGUCCCAGCCGCCAGAAGUCAUGCCCUCAACCCUCCCUCAGCUCCAUCUUGCCACAACCAGCAGUGAAGAAUCCAAGCCUUUCCAGCAGCACCACAAGCUGGAGAUCGCUCUGGACCCCAGACCGGGCCAACAACACCAGAGUGCCAGACGGGGAAGGUACAGCCAUCACACCUUCUCCAGAUGGAGCCCCAGUGACACUGAGCUUCUACUAACACAGCUCUGGUAUGUGGGACUGGGACAUCUCCAAACCACGCGGCCGCUUAUGCGGCUGUGCAACCUUUCCUGAUAUACAAAUAUAUGCUCAGGAAUGGCUGAGCAUCCAUUAUCCCAGAGGCACAUAAACCAAUCUCAGAAUGCAACGGCUGCUGGCAGAUAUACUUCUGUACUCUGAACUAAGCUAAGGCCCCAUGCAGCCCGGAAGGGGAAGGGUUUCUGUCCCUUGACUUUUUCCCCUCUAGACAGCAUGGCGACCGCCAACAUUCUGAACCAAUUGGACAGAGAGGUAGGAGUUUGCAGUGAUGGGACGGGAUGGAUAGGAAAUCUUGCGAUGAGGAAGACAGAACCAGCCCUGCCUCUUGCCUAAAUGAGACCCCGAGCGGUUGCCUAUGAACAGCUCCUCCACUCCUGAACAACCAUGAUCCCAGCACCACAGAAACCAAUCUCGGAAUGCAGCGGCUGCUGACAGAAAUACCUCUGGACUUAAUACCAGAAUUCCAAAUCUGGGUGGCUGCUUUUGCGACCUUGCAACAACAUAUGUUCUUUGUUAACAACAAUAGAAAACAUACAAUCUAAUGAUGUUAUUCUGACAGAUCAGACUGUUGGGGGAAAAACUCCACAUAAUGAUAGUGAGUUUCCUGUCGAAAAUUGAAUGUAAUCAAAGUAAGGAAAGAGUAAAGAGAAAAU
Long non-coding RNA from Sorex araneus (European shrew), 1305 nucleotides. RefSeq lists it as uncharacterized. Lineage: Eukaryota; Metazoa; Chordata; Mammalia; Eulipotyphla; Soricidae. The record is from RefSeq and is a predicted model, not a curated record. The transcript has 4 exons.